This 468-nucleotide ribosomal RNA is filed under the name uncultured bacterium. RNAcentral describes it as "partial 16S ribosomal RNA". It matches the Rfam family "Bacterial small subunit ribosomal RNA", at positions 28 to 507 of the family's 1533-position model. The record is from RNAcentral.
GACGAACGCUGGCGGCGUGCUUAACACAUGCAAGUCGAACGGAAAGGCCCUGCUUUUGUGGGGUGCUCGAGUGGCGAACGGGUGAGUAACACGUGAGUAACCUGCCCUUGACUUUGGGAUAACUUCAGGAAACUGGGGCUAAUACCGGAUAGGAGCUCCUGCUGCAUGGUGGGGGUUGGAAAGUUUCGGCGGUUGGGGAUGGACUCGCGGCUUAUCAGCUUGUUGGUGGGGUAGUGGCUUACCAAGGCUUUGACGGGUAGCCGGCCUGAGAGGGUGACCGGCAACAUUGGGACUGAGAUACGGCCCAGAAUCCUACGGGAGGAAGCAGUGGGGAAUAUUGCACAAUGGGCGGAAGACUGAUGCAGCAACGCCGCGUGCGGGAUGACGGACUUCGGGUUGUAAACCGCUUUCGCCUGUGACGAAGCGUGAGUGACGGUAAUGGGUAAAGAAGCACCGGCUAACUACGUG